Salvia splendens (bonfire salvia) is the source of this 598-nucleotide long non-coding RNA. RefSeq lists it as uncharacterized. Lineage: Eukaryota; Viridiplantae; Streptophyta; Magnoliopsida; Lamiales; Lamiaceae. The transcript has 4 exons. The record is from RefSeq and is a predicted model, not a curated record.
AGACUGCUUUUGAGGAAGCACACCAACUCCAUCGUUAAGGGAUCAUAGUUUUCUUAGUUGUGCAAGAUCAUCAAUUUAACCAAAGAUGGAGAAAAUUCUGUAGAGAAAGUUCACAAGAGGCAAACAAAAAAGAGCUCAAAAGAAACAGAGAGUGUCAAGAAAGCAAAAAAUCUGACAAUGACAUGGCAAGACGAGCAGCGAGCAAGGCUAGAGAUCUGAAGUGGAUCAGAUGGGAUAUGGCAUUUAUGCAACAGAGAUCUGGGCUGUUGGAGGAAGAGAACAUGAAGCUUCGUGAUGGGCACCUUGGUAAAGCUUGGAGAUCUCGAAGAAGCUAAGGCUGUGCUAGAUGACUGGACUUCUACUUGCCACACAUACGACUUCAGAGUGCCGAACAUACUGCUGAUGGGAUAUUGUUAUAAGGGACUCCCCAAUAAAUUCGAGGCUCAGCUUUGGGAUAUUACCGAAAGGGGAUAAUUACCGACUUUCCUUCCCAAAGGCCAUUGAUUUUCCACGGCUUCUGGAACACUCUUAUCAGCCGCAUGACAUGAUUCUUGAGAACAAGAAGCCAAAAGAGUGUUGUGAAGCAGUUGAUCAUGCU